GAUCCUGGCUCAGGAUGAACGCUGGCGGCGUGCUUAACACAUGCAAGUCGAACGGUGAAGGAGGAGCUUGCUCUUCUGGAUCAGUGGCGAACGGGUGAGUAACACGUGAGCAAUCUGCCCUUGACUCUGGGAUAACAGUUGGAAACAGCUGCUAAUACCGGAUACGAGACGUGACCGCAUGGUCAACGUCUGGAAAGAACUUCGGUCAAGGAUGAGCUCACGGCCUAUCAGCUAGUUGGUGAGGUAAUGGCUCACCAAGGCGACGACGGGUAGCCGGCCUGAGAGGGUGACCGGCCACACUGGGACUGAGACACGGCCCAGACUCCUACGGGAGGCAGCAGUGGGGAAUAUUGCACAAUGGGCGAAAGCCUGAUGCAGCAACGCCGCGUGAGGGACGACGGCCUUCGGGUUGUAAACCUCUUUUAGCAAGGAAGAAGCGAAAGUGACGGUACUUGCAGAAAAAGCGCCGGCUAACUACGUG
This 481-nucleotide ribosomal RNA is filed under the name uncultured bacterium. RNAcentral describes it as "bacterial SSU rRNA". It matches the Rfam family "Bacterial small subunit ribosomal RNA", at positions 15 to 507 of the family's 1533-position model. The record is from RNAcentral.